Long non-coding RNA from Cyanistes caeruleus (blue tit), 393 nucleotides. RefSeq lists it as uncharacterized. Lineage: Eukaryota; Metazoa; Chordata; Aves; Passeriformes; Paridae. The record is from RefSeq and is a predicted model, not a curated record.
GCGGUGAUGGCGGGCGGGCUGAACGCGAAGGUGGCCUGCAGCAGGAACCUUGAGCGGCGGCUGGCACCGCAGGGCGGGCUCACCCGGGGCAGCAAGCAAAGAUCCAGUCUUUUUUGUCUUGGAGGAAGAUGGCCUUUUGGAUGACAGCUCUUUUUUAGAGCUGCCAUUUCUUGGGACAGAUCUCCAAAUGGAACACGUGCACAGCCUUUCUCUGUGGUUCUGUUUCUUGUCAGUCCCAAUAAAAGUAGAAAGGCAAGACAACCUCUCCAGCCGCUGGGAAGUCAUAACCCCAGUUAUCCUUUGGUAAAAGGUCCCUCCCAGCUUGUUUUUAACCUAUUCCUGGUCUAUUCCAUAGUGGAAGCCAUUACAUGGUUAAAUAAAAACCUGAAAAUA